This 497-nucleotide ribosomal RNA is filed under the name uncultured bacterium. RNAcentral describes it as "partial 16S ribosomal RNA". It matches the Rfam family "Bacterial small subunit ribosomal RNA", at positions 28 to 507 of the family's 1533-position model. The record is from RNAcentral.
GACGAACGCUGGCGGCGUGCCUAAUACAUGCAAGUAGAACGCUGAAGAGAGGAGCUUGCUCUUCUUGGAUGAGUUGCGAACGGGUGAGUAACGCGUAGGUAACCUGCCUUGUAGCGGGGGAUAACUAUUGGAAACGAUAGCUAAUACCGCAUAACAAUAGGUGACACAUGUCAUUUAUUUGAAAGGGGCAAUUGCUCCACUACAAGAUGGACCUGCGUUGUAUUAGCUAGUAGGUGAGGUAACGGCUCACCUAGGCGACGAUACAUAGCCGACCUGAGAAGGUGAUCGGCCACACUGGGACUGAGACACGGCCCAGACUCCUACGGGAGGCAGCAGUAGGGAAUCUUCGGCAAUGGGGGCAACCCUGACCGAGCAACGCCGCGUGAGUGAAGAAGGUUGUCGGAUCGUAAAGCUCUGUUGUAAGUCAAGAACGAGUGUGAGAGUGGAAAGUUCACACUGUGACGGUAGCUUACCAGAAAGGGACGGCUAACUACGUG